Molecule: non-coding RNA, 63 nt
Organism: Rattus norvegicus (Norway rat)
Lineage: Eukaryota; Metazoa; Chordata; Mammalia; Rodentia; Muridae
Source: Rfam
GGGGAUUUAGCUCAGUGGUAGAGCACUUGCUUAGCAAGCGCAAGGCCCUGGGUUCAGUCCCCA